RNAcentral lists this ribosomal RNA (589 nucleotides) under Salmonella enterica subsp. enterica serovar Oslo. RNAcentral's name for it is "bacterial SSU rRNA". It matches the Rfam family "Bacterial small subunit ribosomal RNA", at positions 514 to 1102 of the family's 1533-position model. Lineage: Bacteria; Pseudomonadati; Pseudomonadota; Gammaproteobacteria; Enterobacterales; Enterobacteriaceae. The record is from RNAcentral.
GCCGCGGUAAUACGGAGGGUGCAAGCGUUAAUCGGAAUUACUGGGCGUAAAGCGCACGCAGGCGGUCUGUCAAGUCGGAUGUGAAAUCCCCGGGCUCAACCUGGGAACUGCAUUCGAAACUGGCAGGCUUGAGUCUUGUAGAGGGGGGUAGAAUUCCAGGUGUAGCGGUGAAAUGCGUAGAGAUCUGGAGGAAUACCGGUGGCGAAGGCGGCCCCCUGGACAAAGACUGACGCUCAGGUGCGAAAGCGUGGGGAGCAAACAGGAUUAGAUACCCUGGUAGUCCACGCCGUAAACGAUGUCUACUUGGAGGUUGUGCCCUUGAGGCGUGGCUUCCGGAGCUAACGCGUUAAGUAGACCGCCUGGGGAGUACGGCCGCAAGGUUAAAACUCAAAUGAAUUGACGGGGGCCCGCACAAGCGGUGGAGCAUGUGGUUUAAUUCGAUGCAACGCGAAGAACCUUACCUGGUCUUGACAUCCACAGAACUUUCCAGAGAUGGACUGGUGCCUUCGGGAACUGUGAGACAGGUGCUGCAUGGCUGUCGUCAGCUCGUGUUGUGAAAUGUUGGGUUAAGUCCCGCAACGAGCGCAAC